Molecule: ribosomal RNA, 492 nt
Filed under: uncultured bacterium
Lineage: Bacteria
Description: partial 16S ribosomal RNA
Rfam family: Bacterial small subunit ribosomal RNA
Source: RNAcentral
AGUGAACGCUGGCGGUAGGCCUAACACAUGCAAGUCGAACGGCAGCACAGUAAGAGCUUGCUCUUACGGGUGGCGAGUGGCGGACGGGUGAGGAAUACAUCGGAAUCUACUUUUUCGUGGGGGAUAACGUAGGGAAACUUACGCUAAUACCGCAUACGACCUACGGGUGGAAGCAGGGGAUCUUCGGACCUUGCGCGAUUGAAUGAGCCGAUGUCGGAUUAGCUAGUUGGCGGGGUAAAGGCCCACCAAGGCGACGAUCCGUAGCUGGUCUGAGAGGAGGAUCAGCCACACUGGAACUGAGACACGGUCCAGACUCCUACGGGAGGCAGCAGUGGGGAAUAUUGGACAAUGGGCGCAAGCCUGAUCCAGCCAUACCGCGUGGGUGAAGAAGGCCUUCGGGUUGUAAAGCCCUUUUGUUGGGAAAGAAAAGCAGCAGGUUAAUACCCCGCUGUUCUGACGGUACCCAAAGAAUAAGCACCGGCUAACUUCGUG